UACAGAGGGGGCAAGCGUUAUUCGGAAUUAUUGGGCGUAAAGGGCGCGUAGGCGGCUUUGCAAGUGACGGGUGAAAUCCCUCGGCUUAACCGAGGAACUGCCUGUCAGAUUGUGAGGCUUGAGACCGGGAGAGGUGAGUGGAAUUCCCAGUGUAGCGGUGAAAUGCGUAGAUAUUGGGAGGAACACCAGUGGCGAAGGCGGCUCACUGGACCGGAACUGACGCUGAGGCGCGAAAGCGUGGGGAGCAAACAGG
RNAcentral lists this ribosomal RNA (253 nucleotides) under uncultured bacterium. RNAcentral's name for it is "partial 16S ribosomal RNA". It matches the Rfam family "Bacterial small subunit ribosomal RNA", at positions 524 to 776 of the family's 1533-position model. The record is from RNAcentral.